CAUAGUCCCCCGAAUCCAUGGGGGAUGACGCCUGCCCAGUGGAAACUCUUAACGGCCGCGGUAUUUUGACCGUGCAAAGGUAGCAUAAUCAUUUGUCUCUUAAAUGGGGACUCGUAUGAAUGGCAUUACAUCCUUUAACUGUCUCCCCUUUUUAUCCUUUAAACUUCUACCUGCGUGAAGAAGCGCAGAUAAAAAAGAAAGACGAGAAGACCCUGUCGAGCUUUAGCUUAUAUUGAAAACUAUGAAAUUCUUUUAUAAAGAACCACAAAUUUAAUUAAAGCUUUGGUUGGGGCAACCAUGGAGAAAAAAAAUCCUCCAGUCAACAAGAAGAUUUCAAAUCACUUAUAAAAUCCUUUUAGAACCAGAAAUUCUGGUAAACGGAAAAAGUUACCGCAGGGAUAACAGCGUAAUCUUCUCUAAGAGUUCACAUUGACGAGAAGGUUUGCGACCUCGAUGUUGGAUUGGGGUAACCAAAAGGUGCAGCAGCUUUUUAUGGUUGGACUGUUCGUCCAUUAAAUCCCUACGUGAUCUG
This 532-nucleotide ribosomal RNA is filed under the name Heteromolpadia tridens. RNAcentral describes it as "partial 16S ribosomal RNA". It matches the Rfam family "Bacterial large subunit ribosomal RNA", at positions 1814 to 2607 of the family's 2925-position model. The record is from RNAcentral. Lineage: Eukaryota; Metazoa; Echinodermata; Holothuroidea; Molpadida; Molpadiidae.